AACGAACGCUGGCGGCAGGCCUAACACAUGCAAGUCGAACGCUCCGCAAGGGGAGUGGCGCACGGGUGAGUAACACGUGGGAACCUACCUUCUGGUACGGAACAACCAAGGGAAACUCUGGCUGAUACCGUAUACGACCUCCGGGUGAAAGAUUGAUCGCCGGAAGAGGGGCCCGCGUCCGAUUAGGUAGUUGGUGAGGUAACGGCUCACCAAGCCUGCGAUCGGUAGCUGGUCUGAGAGGANGACCAGCCACACUGGGACUGAGACACGGCCCAGACUCCUACGGGAGGCAGCAGUGGGGAAUCUUGCGCAAUGGGCGAAAGCCUGACGCAGCGACGCCGCGUGA
RNAcentral lists this ribosomal RNA (346 nucleotides) under uncultured bacterium. Its description in RNAcentral is "bacterial SSU rRNA". It matches the Rfam family "Bacterial small subunit ribosomal RNA", at positions 29 to 404 of the family's 1533-position model. The record is from RNAcentral.